GUAAAAUCAAGUAAAGUUCAUUCAAAUAGAUAAAAGUAUAGUUUGAAAACAGUCUCACUGAUGUGCAGUAGUAUAAUAAUAGUCCUCAAGUGUUGCUCCGUCCGUAUGGUAGGUAGUCCAUAUAUGUGAAGACAAAAGGAGAAAAAAGCUGCCAAUGGUGAAAUAUUAUAUGUCCAGAUGUGGUAUAUAUUCAAAGGAAAGGUAUUUCACUCACAUUUGUUGGAGCUCUAACCAGCUCUAGGAGAAGAGGCACUUAGUGGUUUAAUCCCCACUAUCGGAUGUACUUAGAUGGUUGAUCCGUCUAUUCGGCUUGGAAUUCCUUUGGUGUAGGCUAGGACCUUUUACCAUUUUGAGAAAACCCCAAAGGUGAAAUGCGUAAAUGGUUUUAAUAAGUGUAUUUUAAUCAAUAAAAGUUAUUUUUGGUUACCUUUUAUACUAGGACCAAUUCUAU
This is a non-coding RNA of Pelobates cultripes (western spadefoot toad), 451 nucleotides long. NCBI's taxonomy places the organism in Eukaryota, Metazoa, Chordata, Amphibia, Anura, Pelobatidae. The record is from the annotation of a GenBank genome assembly.